CAGCCGCCGCGGUAAUACGUAGGGUGCGAGCGUUAAUCGGAAUUACUGGGCGUAAAGCGUGCGCAGGCGGUUCCAUAAGACAGAUGUGAAAUCCCCGGGCUUAACCUGGGAACUGCGUUUGUGACUGUGGGACUCGAGUGUGGCAGAGGGGGGUGGAAUUCCACGUGUAGCAGUGAAAUGCGUAGAGAUGUGGAGGAACACCGAUGGCGAAGGCAGCCCCCUGGGUCAACACUGACGCUCAUGCACGAAAGCGUGGGGAGCAAACAGGAUUAGAUACCCUGGUAGUCCACGCCCUAAACGAUGCGAACUAGGUGUUGGGGAAGGAGACUUUCUUAGUACCGCAGCUAACGCGUGAAGUUCGCCGCCUGGGGAGUACGGUCGCAAGAUUAAAACUCAAAGGAAUUGACGG
This 409-nucleotide ribosomal RNA is filed under the name uncultured bacterium. Its description in RNAcentral is "bacterial SSU rRNA". It matches the Rfam family "Bacterial small subunit ribosomal RNA", at positions 509 to 916 of the family's 1533-position model. The record is from RNAcentral.